GACGAACGCUGGCGGCGUGCUUAACACAUGCAAGUCGAACGGAAAGGCCCUGCUUUUGUGGGGUGCUCGAGUGGCGAACGGGUGAGUAACACGUGAGUAACCUGCCCUUGACUUUGGGAUAACUUCAGGAAACUGGGGCUAAUACCGGAUAGGAGCUCCUGCUGCAUGGUGGGGGUUGGAAAGUUUCGGCGGUUGGGGAUGGACUCGCGGCUUAUCAGCUUGUUGGUGGGGUAGUGGCUUACCAAGGCUUUGACGGGUAGCCGGCCUGAGAGGGUGACCGGCCAAAUUGGGAAUGAGAUACGGCCCAGACUCCUACGGGAGGCAGCAGUGGGGAAUAUUGCAAAAUGGGCGGAAGCCUGAUGCAGCAACGCCGCGUGCGGGAUGAAGGCCUUCGGGUUGUAAACCGCUUUCGCCUGUGACGAAGCGUGAGUGACGGUAAUGGGUAAAGAAGCACCGGCUAACUACGUG
Molecule: ribosomal RNA, 468 nt
Filed under: uncultured bacterium
Lineage: Bacteria
Description: partial 16S ribosomal RNA
Rfam family: Bacterial small subunit ribosomal RNA
Source: RNAcentral